CCAAAGAGAAUACCCCAGGAGGUUAUUCUCCCUGGGCUCUGUUCAAAUGGCAUAGGGGAGCAUAAGGCUCUGCUCCAUGAUGUACAGUCCCAUUCCACAAUGCUGGAUAUGAAGCAGGGCCUUUGAGUCUAUGCCUGCCUAUUCCUGCAUUUUCUCAUAGUUCUGUGGACAAUGAAUGAUGAGACAAACCAUGCAAGAGACAGUC
Molecule: small nucleolar RNA, 205 nt
Organism: Jaculus jaculus (lesser Egyptian jerboa)
Lineage: Eukaryota; Metazoa; Chordata; Mammalia; Rodentia; Dipodidae
Gene: SNORA73
Rfam family: Small nucleolar RNA SNORA73 family
About the family: U17 (SNORA73A and SNORA73B) also known as E1 belongs to the H/ACA class of small nucleolar RNAs (snoRNAs).
Source: Ensembl